UUCAAUCCAUCUACUUUGCUCAGCGGCAAGCUUCUACUUCCCAUAAUUAAACAGACACUUGGCCAAACAGAUGAAAGGGGGAAGAUGGGUAAAGCUGGAGCGCCUGUGCAGCUGUGUGGGCGAUAUCGCCACUGGUGUUGGCAUCUUCAACACAGGGAAUCUGCCACCAUCCAUUCCAAGCAGCAGGUAAUGGAUUGAGCUCAGGACCUGAUCUGGCUAUGGAUGAGCUAGCCUGAAGGUUGUUAGGUUUGUUGUCAGCGCCAAGCCUCUACCCAACCUCAAUUCUUCCUUCAAAGACAAAAACAUCACAGCGGGGUGCUAAGAUCUCACUGUCAGGCUGGUUUAGGGACAUUUUGAUGUGAUAUUGGAGUCUUUAAUCCCACCAGCGAUGGAAAAUUUACAGCUCUACAUUUAAGAGCCAUUUUCAUUUGAUGGAAAAAAAAAAAAAAAAAUUAAAUGUUCUGAUUAAAAAAACAUUGUUGUCAGUUAUAAAUCUGCCAUGGUGAUUAAAUUGUAGAACUAAAGGGCUUUUUAGCCAAAAACAACAAAAAACAUGUAAACUGUUAUCUGUCUUUUUUUUUUGUAUUUUUCUCAUUUAAGUUCCAAAAGUUAGAAAGUUAAAUGGAAUAUAGUAAAGAUAAAACCUGCAGACCCCAAACAGGUCCAUGCAACUAAGACAGGGGUCUGCAACCUGCGGCUCCAGAGCCACAUGUGGCUCUUUUAUCUCUCCGUAGUGGCUCUCUGGCUGAAAAAAAUAAAAUAAUAGUAAAUUAAAAAAAAAAAAAAAAUGGAGAUUUGCUAUUAUUUUAGCAACAUACUAACGUUUUUGGCUAAUUUGUUUUCUAGUGGGGUUUUUUAGGCUAAGUUAGUUUACUGAGGAAUUCUAUGCUAAUUUAGAGUUUAGCUAAUUUUUAGUUAAAUGCUGAUGUUUUUAGCUAAUUUUUAUCUACUGAAUUUUUUUUUAUAAUUUUAAAUUUAGCUUCUAUUUUAGCAAAAUUCUAACAUUUUUGACUAAGUUGGUUUACUGAGGAAUUUGAGGCUAUUUUGGAGUUCAGCAAGGAGUUAAGC
RNAcentral lists this long non-coding RNA (1068 nucleotides) under Oryzias javanicus (javanese ricefish). RNAcentral's name for it is "lncRNA (ENSOJAG00000021008.1)". The record is from RNAcentral. Lineage: Eukaryota; Metazoa; Chordata; Actinopteri; Beloniformes; Adrianichthyidae.